RNAcentral lists this ribosomal RNA (440 nucleotides) under uncultured bacterium. RNAcentral describes it as "bacterial SSU rRNA". It matches the Rfam family "Bacterial small subunit ribosomal RNA", at positions 338 to 772 of the family's 1533-position model. The record is from RNAcentral.
CCUACGGGAGGCAGCAGUCGGGAAUUUUGGGCAAUGGGCGAAAGCCUGACCCAGCAACGCCGCGUGAAGGAUGAAAUCCCUCGGGAUGUAAACUUCGCAAGAAUAGGAAGAAUAGGCGAGCGCUAAUACCGUUCGCGAUGACGGUACUAUUUGUAAGCUCCGGCUAACUCCGUGCCAGCAGCCGCGGUAAUACGGGGGGAGCAAGCGUUGUUCGGAUUUACUGGGCGUAAAGGGCGCGUAGGCGGCCAGCGCAAGUCAGUUGUGAAAUCUCCGGGCUUAACUCGGAACGGUCAACUGAUACUGCGCGGCUAGAGUGCAGAAGGGGCAACUGGAAUUCUCGGUGUAGCGGUGAAAUGCGUAGAUAUCGAGAGGAACACCUGCGGCGAAGGCGGGUUGCUGGGCUGACACUGACGCUGAGGCGCGAAAGCCAGGGGAGCGAA